Mirounga angustirostris (Northern elephant seal) is the source of this 6881-nucleotide long non-coding RNA. RefSeq lists it as uncharacterized. NCBI's taxonomy places the organism in Eukaryota, Metazoa, Chordata, Mammalia, Carnivora, Phocidae. The transcript has 4 exons. The record is from RefSeq and is a predicted model, not a curated record.
GACCUUGCUAGCGAUUUGUUAAGCCCCGCGGGUCCGGCCGCGGGGCCCCCUGGUGCCUGGGGCGGGAGGGCCCCGGCGGAGGGGGGGGCAGGCAAGGCAGCGCCGGCCGCCCGGCCGCCCGGCCCCCCGGCCCCCCGGGCCCCCCGGCCCCCGUCGGCACGGGGUAGGCCGGCGGGGCGGAGGCGGCGUGCGGCGCCCCGCGGGCCCGGCAGGCCCCCGGGCCACGCUCGCGCCCGGAGCAGCGUCCUCCCGGCGCCCCGCGCGGGGCGCCCCGCGGGCUGGCUCCUGACCGUUCCCAGACCAAGUGGUCUCUGAGCGCGGGGGCAGGUCGGGAGCGCCGCCGCACCGAGCCGGCCUUACGCGGUGGGACAGCGGGGCAGCGACUGUAAGGCAGGUUGGGCUUCCGGACGCAGGGCGUCGCGCUACACGUUGACCUUGGGUGCCCGCGAGUCACGUGCGGGUCGCGGUGACGCCCGCAGGCGCGGCGGGCGAGUCCGUCCGUGAGCCCAGGCCGCGUCGAGGCAGCCCCGCGCGCCUGCGGCGUGCCGCGCCCCGGCCGCGCGGGGCCUCCGCUGUGUGCGGGGACGGACGCCCGGGCAGGGCCCUGCGGGGCCGCGGCCUCCCACCGCGGGCAGGCGUGGAGGCGCGGCGGAUCUCCUCCCUGCGCUGGCUCUCCGCGUUCCCGCGGCCCCGGUCCUGCCAGCCUGUGCCGGUUGGGUGGCCUCUGGGCUCAGCCAUGCCCUCGGCUGCUUUCCUGCUUAGGUCGCUGCUUGGCCUGAGCGGCUGCGCCUCGCUCUGCGGAAUUCAGAAAAAGCCGCAGCGGACGGAGACUGGGGACCGUCGCGUUGUGUGGGCGUGGGGCCGCACUCCUCAGCCAGAAGGGAGAAGCCCGAGAAUGAAAAGCACUAAGGCGUGUGUGCUGCGGGUAACGCAGGGCGUACAGGGGAGAGUGUGGCCGAAACACCCGUGUUGAAGAGAGAAACCUCUCUAAUCUGGUCAUUGACGCUAAGAAGUCAGAACAGAAGAGCAAACUAAACCUAAAGCAACAGACCAGAAAUACUGGCUGGAGCAGGAAUAAACAGAAAACAAAAACUGGACAAAUCCUACAAAACCAGAAGUUGGUUCUUUGAAAAGAUCAGCAAAUGACAAACCUUGAGCUGGACUGACCGGGUGGAAAAGAGGGAAACCUCGCUGAACUCAGGGAUGAAAGUGAGAAGAGCACUGCCGACUUUACAGAAAUAAAAGUGUUUAUGAGGGAAUAAUAGGGACAGCUGAAUGCCAGAAGAUUAGGUAAUUUUUUAAGUGAAACGGAUAAAUCCCUGGGAAAACAAAAAUACAGAAAUUGAGGAAGAAAUGGAACUACUCCCACUUUGUCCAGGUGUUGCUAAAGGCCUCAUGGACUCCAGGCCUUCCAAAGAGGGUGUUCUCUCUCCUUGGUCCCCACCUCUGAUCCUCCUAGUAGUCUCCAGAAGCUUCUUUUAAAGCCCCUAAGUACUCCGGCUUGGCCAGGUGUUGAAGGAAGCCACACUCCCUAGCAAGAUAGGGAGCAUGAUAGCUGUUUUUCCUCUCCUUAUCCAAGAAGCAGAGACACCUCCCUAAAAUGAGUGUCAUUUUUCUGGAAUUAAUACAGUAUAGCCUGUGGUGAAAGUAUUUUCUGCCAACAUGACUUUGAUCCUGAUCCUUAGAAAAGAGCAACACAUUUUCCAUAUUUUUGCCAAGAGGGGCUGCUGGCUCUUCCCAACCGUAGUCUAUAGGAGAAGAAACACGCGUGGUAUUCACUUAAUUUUGCCUACCUUGCGGUGGUGCCAUUUUCAUAGAUUUCUGAUUCCCGAAUCCUCUUCUGAUGAAAGGAGGCGACCCUUGACCCCCUUACCAUCCUCGGAACACCCCAGCUGUCAAGGAAACAUGGUUUUUCAGGCUCUGGGCUAUUGCAAGUUCUCUAGCCCCAAACUUAGCCAAAACAGUCCUAGAAGCCCCAAGAGGUCAAUCUGUGAUGUUCCAAAGAGCCUUCUGGACUCCUGCCAGGUACUGUCCCAAAGAGAUCCUCAGGACUCACUUCUUGGUCCCCCUCGCUCCCUUCUGCGUAGGUCUGCCAGGCCUGAUGCUUUCAGUGGACACACCGUGCCACUGUCGCAGUUGUUCCUAGCAGCGUGCCAGCAUUGUGUAUAGAAGAAACCUAGAGCUCCAACACCUCAGCCUUUCUUCUGUAGGCGCACAGUCGGAGGGGCUGAUCGCCUAAAUUAAACAACUGAUUUGGGGCAGGGCCGUGUUGGAGCCUCAGAUGGACAUUUGGGUUGUUUUGGAUUCUUAUGAAAAGUGCUGGGUUUCCUGGUGCCCGUGAGCUGGAGCCUGAGGAAGGAGCUGCUGAAUCCCAGGAUGCAGAUGCUUUGUGUCAGUGUUCCUGAGACGCUGGUGUGAAGUCCUCCUGUGACGUUUGGUCUGGCUUUGGUGUCAGGUGGCUCCUGCAGGACUCUUCCGAGGCCCCAGUUUUUCCAGAAGGACUUGGAUCCUCCACAGAGGCAGAGUCGACUGCUGGUCCCUGGAAUGUGAACGGGGUGUCCCCAGGACAAAGCACAGAUGAAGAUGAUUUACUCUCACCGGAGAUAAGAACGGUUCUCUUUCUGUCCUACCGAAUACGCUCACAGCAGUUCUUCUCGAUGGAGCUUCUUCCAUGUGAUUCGCGUGGUUGCAGGGCGCAGUGCGGUGGGCUUUGUCUGGUUCCCACAGGUGCCAGAACUUUUCAUCCCGAGGAAGGAGCCCAGGGCUGGUCACCGCGCCCGCUUCCCGGCAGACUCCCCACCAGGGGAGGGACAGCCACCACAGGGGGGCGUUCCCCCAGCGGGCUCCCCUAAGUAAAUAAUAAUAACCUAAGUACAUUUAUUGAGUAAUGGCAUAAACGCCAUGUGGGGUGCUCAAGCAUCUGAGGUGUGGGAGCAGUGCUGGACUGCAGGAGGCUUCAGUGAAAGUCCCUUAACCAUGGUGAGAAUGGGAAAUGCCAUUUUCUCUCAUCUGCUUUGGGAGUCUUCCUCCUGCUGAUCAGCAGGGAAUAAUUCCAGUGCUUUCACUCUUCUCCCAGGCCUCUGAAGCAAGAGGCCUUUGAUUUAUAUUACGCUGUCAGAUAGCUGUGCAGCGGGAGAAGGCCCCUCGGUAAUUUGGAACUUCCUCAUGCUGCUAAUGCAAUCAGGAAGCUGGCCCUUUAUAGAAUUAGAGGGUGUGUGCGUGCUUGGAGUUACUAGCCUGCCACCCUGCGUGCAGUGGGAACAGAGAGGGCGGGAGGGAUGGGGAGGCUCUUUGGGGGCAGAUAGCGAUUAGUGGGACUUAGCCAACAAUUUUGAAACCUGGAAAUCAGGUUUUUGGAAAUAAAUUUUAGUAGGUGAGUUCUCCAAACAGUGUUCUCCAAACUUUUUUCCGGUCCUGUCCUCUCUUCCUGGUGGCGAGCUCUCGCCUCCCACUGCCUGUCCUUAAGGGGUCCUCAGCUCAGUAUCUGAUUCCAUUUUAGUGCCAGUCCUGUGAACUAAGAGGUCUUAUUAUACCCAUUUUCUAGGUGAGGAAACUGACAUUCAGAGCAGGUGUUUAGAGCGGUGGCACUUGGAUUCUGGUCUUCUAACUCCAGAAUUCUCUUGAUACAUUGUACUUUCUCAAAAUUGUCUGCAUCCAGAGACUCAGGGCACCUGCUUGUAUGAUACAUACCCUAACCUUCUGCUCUGGUAACUCCCAGCUUUUUCAUGGGGAAGAGGGUUGGAAUAAAGAAACCCGAGACAUCAUAGAUUUCCCCAUAUCAUGAAGUGUUGCAGUUUUGGGAAAUUCAUGUACCAAGUAAUUGGCUUUGGGAAGGAGGACAGAUUGUGGUGUUGUAGAAUCCUAUUGCAUAAGAGGGGUCUUAUUCCUCCUACUGUUCAGCAACUGCUUAAAAUGCUGGAGGGGAAUAUAAAAUGCAUUAAGAAAUAUUUGUUGAGGAAGUCGAUAAAUGGGUAAAGCAGAUAAUAAACAUAGUAUCUGGCCUUAAAGAACAAACAAGAUCAUAAGAGGAGGCAUUACAAACACCAAAGUUUCGCGCAGAAGCUGGUGUUGCACUUCCUAAUUAUUUGCAGUUGCUGUGAGCAGCUUUGAAGACCCUCUGGAUGCAGGUUUCUCUGGUUUGCAGUCUCUUCUGUCACCACACGGGGGCACAAUUGGACCUUUGAAAAUUAUGUGCGCAAGAUGAAAUUUCUCGGUAUUUAUAGCAUCCUCCAAAUAAAAAUGGCAAAACUUAGUGUACUAAACAGGGAAAGGGAGGGAUCAGGCUUUAACGAGAGAGGUGUACUGUCACUGCGCCCAGAGGGGAAGAGGUUUAGGAAGGGCCGGAUUACACCUGAGAGGUCUGUUGGCCUGUGCGCCCAGGUGAGGGAGGAGCCUGAUCACCUGUGCGCCCAGGUGAGGGGGCAGCCGGGUCCACCUGCAUGGACCAUCUGUGGGCUGACUCCUGGCUGCUGUCUUGGGCCAUGCCCACCACCCAGUGUGAUUAUUGCCAGUGCCCCUGGUACCUCAAAAUGCCCCGGUUUAGAGAGGACUCGUGAGCAUCCUGGUUCUAAGGGAUGGACGUGAGGGGUGGGAGGCCUGUGGGCGAAAACGCUGGGGGUCUGGUACCCACACAUCGACCAGGAGUGGACAGAGGUGGGGGGCUGGGGUGCUGCAGAGCUGGGGGCACAGGAAAAAUGAAGGAGACGCCCCGGGACGGAAGGCUCCCUGCGCUCAGCCCUCACAGUCUACCGUUUGUAAAUCUCCAUGGGAACUUGGAGGUUAUAAGCAAUUACCGCCGAUGAGAAACUGGAACUCAGAGCCACGCAGCAUCAGGGAGACUCUAGAACAUGGGUGGGUCAUGGGGAAGGAUUCCUGUGGGAAGUGCCCUCAGCCGACUGUCCCCAGGCUGGGGCCCCCCUGAGGACACCGAGACCAGGAUGCAGGCCUGGGUCUGGGGAGGUGGCAGGACUUCCAAAGCGUCCCUCCCCUUUGUCCUCCUCCCCUUCCUUCCUCCCCUCCCUCCCCUCCCUUCCUCCCCAUCCCUCCACCUCCUUCCUCCUCCUUCCCCUCCUUUCUCCCCUCCCUUCCUUCCUUCCUCCUCCCUCCCUCCCUCUCCCCCCUCCUCCUCCCCCUCCUUCUCUUCCCCCUCCUUCAUUUCCAUUCCUCUCCCUCCCCCUCCCUCCUCCUCUUCCCCCUCCCUUUCUUCCUCCUCCCUUCCCCUCGUCUUCCUCUCCUUUCCCUCCCCCCUCACCUCUCCCCCUUCCCUCCCUCAUCCUUCCCCUCCUCUUCCCUCCCUCCCUCUCCCUCCUCCUUCCUCCCCUCCCUCCUUCCCCUUCCCUUCUUUCCCUCCUCCCCAUCCCUCCUCCUCCCUCUGUUAAUAUAUCUCAAUAAGUUAAAUUUUAUAAGUUUGUAUAAAAAGUGGCUUAGAGAAAUAUGAAAGCAUAUAUUAAAAUGCAGUGAAGACUGAGUAUAUCCCCCCAAAAAUUGAAAGCAGAGUCUCAAAAACAUACAUGUGCACCCAUGUUCGUAACAGUGUUAUUCACGAAGAUGGACACGACCCAGUGUCGAUGAAUGGAUAUUUGGAUAGGCAAACUGUGGUCCGUCCACAUAACGGAAUGUUAUUCAGCCUUAAAAAGGAGGGAUAUUCUGGCACCUGCUGCCGCACAGUUGAGCCUGGAGGACACUGCGCCGAGUGACGUGAGCCAGCGCGGUGGGACUCCUCUUGUAUGAGGUCCUGGUGCCACCAGAUCAUGGAGAUAGGGCAGGUGGUGGGUGCGGGGGCUGGGGGAGCAAGGGGGUUGGUGUUCAGUGGGUUAGGGUUAGGACAGAGGCUCAGUCUUACCGGGGAGCAGAGGAUGGGGACGGGUGUACUGUGUGGUGAAUGUGCUGAUCUGUUUGUGUCACUGAGCUCUACACUUAAAAAUCGUUGUGAUGCUAGAUUUUAUGUUCUUGUGUACUUUACUACAAGUUACAAAGUGCCUUGUUUGGGAGUCCCGGGUGUUUAAAGUGAGGGGAGCCCAGGCUGUGGGAUUCACAGGAUCGUGUGGGACUCUUCUGAGGCCCCCGUUUCUCCAGAAGGACUGUGAUACUCCACAGUCAAGACACACAAUAUGUGGGUUUUGUUUUGGUUCCUUUUUUUAAAUAGAAAGGAGGAAUUCCAGAAUCACAGUGAGUGAGGCUGACGGCAGCCUGUUUGAAGAAUCACCAAGCUGAGCUCGUGCGUUGGGAGCAGCAGAGAUGCAGCCCCUUGUGGAGCGGUGCGGCAGGGUGGUCCUGGGUGUGGGGACACUCACAGGGUCCCCUGAUUAACAUCUGCACGUUCUGCACACGCCCACGGACAUGGUUCGUGGGGGCUGCUCACGCUGUGGCCCUGUCCUAUCUUUCUUUACUCCACGUGGUGAGGCCGACACAUUCCAUCCAUCUCACGAAAGGAAUUUAUGGAUGUCCCUCUGUUUUUCAAGUCCAAUAAAACCUGCCCUAGUGGUUCAACGCCCUUUCCCUCCCACCCAGACUCCACGUGGAAAAGUCUCCGGGCCAGCAGGAGCUGCCACGUGGGGACCUGUCCUCUGGGCUGACUCAGGCUCCUACGGGGCAAAGGGCAUCCGACGGCGUCCAGGCAGCGCGCCUGCCCUAGGGGACGCGGCAGGGAGGGGGCCUCAAACCUUUCUACUUCGUGGGACGAUCUGGUGGCCACAUUGCAGGGUUGAGGCUGGGAACGCCAGGUUGGAACGGCCUGGAGACGCACGCAGAGCAGGGUGAGCGGCCCUCUGUUCAAGACAAACGCUCUUUUCUUGCAACAGACUUGUCAAGAAAUGUUACUACCCACGUAUUUACACUCAAACGUUUAAGCUUAUACACAAUUUUAGGUUGGAGUUCCUUAU